CCUACGGGCGGCUGCAGUAGGGAAUCUUCCACAAUGGACGAAAGUCUGAUGGAGCAACGCCGCGUGAGUGAAGAAGGGUUUCGGCUCGUAAAGCUCUGUUGGUAGUGAAGAAAGAUAGAGGUAGUAACUGGCCGUUAUUUGACGGUAAUUACUUAGAAAGUCACGGCUAACUACGUGCCAGCAGCCGCGGUAAUACGUAGGUGGCAAGCGUUGUCCGGAUUUAUUGGGCGUAAAGGGAGUGCAGGCGGUCCAAUCAGUCUGAUGUGAAAGCCGUCGGCUCAACCGGAGCAUUGCAUCAGGAACUGGUGAACUUGAGUGACGGAGAAGAGAGUGGAACGCCAUGUGUAGCGGUGGAAUGCGUAGAUAUAUGGAAGAACACCAGUGGCGAAGGCGGCUCUCUGGUCUGCAACUGACGCUGAGGCUCGAAAGCAUGGGUAGCGAACAGGAUUAGAUACCCGAGUAGUC
Molecule: ribosomal RNA, 465 nt
Filed under: uncultured bacterium
Lineage: Bacteria
Description: partial 16S ribosomal RNA
Rfam family: Bacterial small subunit ribosomal RNA
Source: RNAcentral